Molecule: ribosomal RNA, 462 nt
Filed under: uncultured bacterium
Lineage: Bacteria
Description: partial 16S ribosomal RNA
Rfam family: Bacterial small subunit ribosomal RNA
Source: RNAcentral
CCUACGGGCGGCAGCAGUGAGGAAUAUUGGUCAAUGGACGAAAGUCUGAACCAGCCAUGCCGCGUGCAGGAUGACGGCUCUAUGAGUUGUAAACUGCUUUUGUAUUAGGGUAAACACCCCUACGUGUAGGGGCGUGAAAGUAUCAUACGAAUAAGGAUCGGCUAACUCCGUGCCAGCAGCCGCGGUAAUACGGAGGAUCCAAGCGUUAUCCGGAGUUAGUGGGUUUAAAGGGUGCGUAGGCUGUGAGGUAAGUCAGCGGUGAAAGGCCCCCGCUCAACGGGGUGAAGUGCCAUUGAUACUGCCUUGCUGGAAGGCGGAUGCCGUGGGAGGAAUGUGUGGUGUAGCGGUGAAAUGCAUAGAUAUCACACAGAACACCGAUUGCGAAGGCAUCUCAAGAAUCCGCGAUUGACGCUGAUGCACGAAAGCGUGGGUAUCAAACAGGAUUAGAUACCCCGUGUAGUC